AAGCUAAACGGUUUACUGCACCUAUGGGCAGUCCUUGGGUUCCCUGAAUUUUUCUCCAGGAACUGAAAUGCGCUUAUAGUACCUACAAAUAUUCCAAAUAAGCCCAAAAUUAGUCUCAGGGCCCACUCAGCCAAUUUCAAAAAUCCGAUAAGGCGACUCCGUCGUACUUCGGCGAUAGUGGCUCCGCCGUGCUCCAACGACGGCGCCGCUUCCCGUGUUGGCAAUCUGCCUCGGAUCGGCCGAAUUUAGCCGAUUUUACAUCGAUUUCUGCUAGCACACAUGCUAUAGGGCAUCGGUAAGCCGAAAAAAUACGAAAAAUUGAAACUCACCGGUGGCGGGGCUCUCCGAUGCGGCGGUUCCUCCGGCUCACGUUAUAGUUGGGUGUUUUGCUUCGGUCAACCUGUAAAGAAAAAAACGAUGAUCACAAUGGUAG
RNAcentral lists this long non-coding RNA (433 nucleotides) under Carica papaya (papaya). Its description in RNAcentral is "long non-coding RNA (CPAP_LNC007358)". Lineage: Eukaryota; Viridiplantae; Streptophyta; Magnoliopsida; Brassicales; Caricaceae. The record is from RNAcentral.